GCAGCCGCGGUAAUACGUAGGUGGCGAGCGUUAUCCGGAAUUACUGGGUGUAAAGGGUGUGUAGGCGGGCUUGCAAGUCAGGUGUGAAAACUAUGGGCUCAACCCAUAGCCUGCACUUGAAACUGUAGGUCUUGAGAGUCGGAGAGGUAAACGGAAUUCCGAGUGUAGCGGUGAAAUGCGUAGAUAUUCGGAGGAACACCGGUGGCGAAGGCGGUUUACUGGACGACAACUGACGCUGAGACACGAAAGCGUGGGGAGCAAACAGGAUUAGAUACCCC
This 278-nucleotide ribosomal RNA is filed under the name uncultured Christensenellaceae bacterium. Its description in RNAcentral is "partial 16S ribosomal RNA". It matches the Rfam family "Bacterial small subunit ribosomal RNA", at positions 511 to 788 of the family's 1533-position model. The record is from RNAcentral. Lineage: Bacteria; Bacillati; Bacillota; Clostridia; Christensenellales; Christensenellaceae.